AUUGAACGCUGGCGGCAGGCCUAACACAUGCAAGUCGAGCGGAUGAAGGGAGCUUGCUCCUGGAUUCAGCGGCGGACGGGUGAGUAAUGCCUAGGAAUCUGCCUGGUAGUGGGGGAUAACGUCCGGAAACGGGCGCUAAUACCGCAUACGUCCUGAGGGAGAAAGUGGGGGAUCUUCGUACCUCACGCUAUCAGAUGAUCCUAGGUCGGAUUAGCUAGUUGGUGGGGUAAAGGCCUACCAAGGCGACGAUCCGUAACUGGUCUGAGAGGAUGAUCAGUCACACUGGAACUGAGACACGGUCCAGACUCCUACGGGAGGCAGCAGUGGGGAAUAUUGGACAAUGGGCGAAAGCCUGAUCCAGACAUGCCGCGUGUGUGAAGAAGGUCUUCGGAUUGUAAAGCACUUUAAGUUGGGAGGAAGGGCAGUAAGUUAAUACCGUGCUGUUUUGACGUUACCAACAGAAUAAGCACCGGCUAACUUCGUG
RNAcentral lists this ribosomal RNA (484 nucleotides) under uncultured bacterium. Its description in RNAcentral is "partial 16S ribosomal RNA". It matches the Rfam family "Bacterial small subunit ribosomal RNA", at positions 30 to 507 of the family's 1533-position model. The record is from RNAcentral.